UACGUAGGUGGCAAGCGUUGUCCGGAAUUAUUGGGCGUAAAGCGCGCGCAGGCGGUCCCUUAAGUCUGAUUUGAAAGCCCACGGCUCAACCGUGGCGGGUCCUUGGAAACUGGGAGACUUGAGUGUAGGAGAGGAAACUGGAAUUCCACGUGUAGCGGUGAAAUGCGUAGAUAUGUGGAGGAACACCAGUGGCGAAGGCGGCUUUCUGGCCUACAACUGACGCUGAGGCGCGAAAGCGUGGGGAGCAAACAGG
This 253-nucleotide unclassified non-coding RNA is filed under the name uncultured Sporolactobacillaceae bacterium. RNAcentral describes it as "contains 16S-23S intergenic spacer region". It matches the Rfam family "Bacterial small subunit ribosomal RNA", at positions 524 to 776 of the family's 1533-position model. The record is from RNAcentral. Lineage: Bacteria; Bacillati; Bacillota; Bacilli; Caryophanales; Sporolactobacillaceae.